RNAcentral lists this ribosomal RNA (491 nucleotides) under uncultured bacterium. RNAcentral's name for it is "partial 16S ribosomal RNA". It matches the Rfam family "Bacterial small subunit ribosomal RNA", at positions 29 to 506 of the family's 1533-position model. The record is from RNAcentral.
AGUGAACGCUGGCGGUAGGCCUAACACAUGCAAGUCGAACGGCAGCACAGUAAGAGCUUGCUCUUACGGGUGGCGAGUGGCGGACGGGUGAGGAAUACAUCGGAAUCUACUUUUUCGUGGGGGAUAACGUAGGGAAACUUACGCUAAUACCGCAUACGACCUACGGGUGAAAGCAGGGGAUCUUCGGACCUUGCGCGAUUGAAUGAGCCGAUGUCGGAUUAGCUAGUUGGCGGGGUAAAGGCCCACCAAGGCGACGAUCCGUAGCUGGUCUGAGAGGAUGAUCAGCCACACUGGAACUGAGACCCGGUCCAGACUCCUACGGGAGGCAGCAGUGGGCAAUAUUGGACAAUGGGCGCAAGCCUGAUCCAGCCAUACCGCGUGGGUGAAGAAGGCCUUCGGGUUGUAAAGCCCUUUUGUUGGGAAAGAAAAGCAGCAGGUUAAUACCCCGCUGUUCUGACGGUACCCAAAGAAUAAGCACCGGCUAACUUCGU